RNAcentral lists this ribosomal RNA (525 nucleotides) under uncultured bacterium. RNAcentral's name for it is "bacterial SSU rRNA". It matches the Rfam family "Bacterial small subunit ribosomal RNA", at positions 26 to 518 of the family's 1533-position model. The record is from RNAcentral.
GGCUCGAGGACGAACGCUGGCGGCGUGCCUAAUACAUGCAAGUCGAACGGCUUUUCUAUGGAAGCUUGCUUCCACUGAGAAGAUAGUGGCGAACGGGUGAGUAACACGUGGGUAACCUGCCCAUAAGAGGGGGAUAACAUCCGGAAACGGGUGCUAAUACCGCAUAGUUUUCUUGAUCGCAUGAUCGGGAAAGGAAAGACGGCCUUUGUGCUGUCGCUUAUGGAUGGACCCGCGGCGUAUUAGUUAGUUGGUGAGGUAAUGGCUCACCAAGACGAUGAUACGUAGCCGACCUGAGAGGGUGAUCGGCCACAUUGGGACUGAGACACGGCCCAAACUCCUACGGGAGGCAGCAGUAGGGAAUCUUCCGCAAUGGACGAAAGUCUGACGGAGCAACGCCGCGUGAGUGAAGAAAGGUUUUCGGAUCGUAAAACUCUGUUGUCAGAGAAGAACAAGUUGGAGAGUAACUGCUCCAGCCUUGACGGUAUCUGACCAGAAAGCCACGGCUAACUACGUGCCAGCCGCCGC